GGCUCAGAACGAACGCUGGCUGCGUGGAUUAGGCAUGCAAGUCGAACGGGAAGCCGUGUUUCAAUCUUCGGAGAGAAAGUGCGGUGGAUAGUGGCGGAAGGGUGAGUAACGCGUGGGUAAUUUACCCUCAAGUUGGGGACAACCCCGCGAAAGCGGGGCUAAUACCGAAUGUGGUUCUCCGGUGCAUAUCGGGGUGACUAAAGGUGGGGAUCUUUCGGGACCUGCCGCUUGAGGAGAAGCCCGCGUCCCAUCAGCUUGUUGGUGAGGUAACGGCUCACCAAGGCAGACGGGUAGCCGGCCUGAGAGGGUGAUCGGCCACACUGGGACUGAGACACUGCCCAGACUCCUACGGGAGGCUGCAGUCGAGGAUCAUUCGCAAUGCGCGAAAGCGUGACGAUGCGACGCUGCGUGGAGGAUGAAGGCCCUAGGGUUGUAAACUCCUGUCAUGAGGGAACAGUCCUUCCGUGCCUAACAGGUGCGGGAAUCGAUGGUACCUCAAGAGGAAGCCACGGCUAACUCUGUGCCAGCAGCCGCGGUAAUACAGAGGUGGCUAGCGUUGUUCGGAUUUACUGGGCGUAAAGCGUGCGUAGGCGGUUUCGUGUGUCGGGUGUGAAAGCCCACGGCUCAACCGUGGAAUUGCAUCCGAAACUGCGGGACUAGAGUGCAAUAUGGGAGAGCGGAAUUCUUGGUGUAGCGGUGAAAUGCGUUGAUAUCAAGAAGAACACCGGUGGCGAAGGCGGCUCUCUGGAGUGCAACUGACGCUGAGGCACGAAAGCUGGGGGAGCGAACAGGAUUAGAUACCCUGGUAGUCCCAGCCGUAAACGUUGCGCACUUGGUGUGGGAGGAUUUGACCCCUUCCGUGCCGGAGUUAACGCGUUAAGUGCGCCGCCUGGGGAGUACGGCCGCAAGGCUAAAACUCAAAGAAAUUGACGGGGGCCCGCACAAGCGGAGGAGCAUGUGGCUUAAUUCGAUGCAACGCGAAGAACCCCACCUGGGCUUGACAUGGUGCUGCACGUCCCGUGAAAACGGGACAGCCUUCGAGGGUGCACCACAGGUGCUGCAUGGCUGUCGUCAGUUCGUGCCGUGAGGUGUUGGGUUAAGUCCCGCAACGAACGCAACCCUUAUGUUUAGUUGCCACCGGUGGUGAUGAGCCGCCGAGCACUCUAGACAGACUGCCUGUACAAGCAGGAGGAAGGUGGGGAUGACGUCAAGUCAGUAUGGCCCUUACGCCCAGGGCUGCACACGUGCUACAAUGGUCGGUACAAUGGGAAGCAAGACCGCGAGGUGGAGCAAAUCCCCAAAGCUGGCCCCAGUUCGGAUUGGAGUCUGCAACUCGACUCCAUGAAGUUGGAUUCGCUAGUAACGGCGCAUCAGCUACGGCGCCGUGAUACGUUCCCGGGCCUUGUACACACCGCCCGUCACAUCAUGAAAGCCGUCUGCACCCGAAGUCGCCGAGCUAACCCGUCAGGGAAGCAAGUGCCGAAGGUGUGGGUGGUGAUUGGGAU
RNAcentral lists this ribosomal RNA (1505 nucleotides) under uncultured organism. RNAcentral's name for it is "bacterial SSU rRNA". It matches the Rfam family "Bacterial small subunit ribosomal RNA". The record is from RNAcentral.